RNAcentral lists this long non-coding RNA (209 nucleotides) under Rattus norvegicus (Norway rat). RNAcentral's name for it is "long non-coding RNA NONRATT032642". Lineage: Eukaryota; Metazoa; Chordata; Mammalia; Rodentia; Muridae. The record is from RNAcentral.
GCAGAGGAAUUUUUAGCAUCCAUUGCAUGACCUAUCAAAAUCAAAGUGGACUCUUGAGUUGGAUGUUUACUACCUGUGACUACCUUCACUUCAGCUUCCUAGCACUUGACCUUCUUUCCAUAAAGGUUGCUAGAAGACACAUAACCAGAGAUAUGUCUGAAGUAAGAUAUCAGUUAACAGCUGAGGACACCAAGGAAAAGCAGCCAUAA